GGCUGGUCCACUGGUAGUGGCCCAUCAGAACUUAUUCACAGCAGUGUUACUAACGUUGGUAUACAAUCCCCCACUGCUAAAUUUGACUGGCUUAAA
Cercocebus atys (sooty mangabey) is the source of this 96-nucleotide unclassified non-coding RNA. It matches the Rfam family "Y RNA". From Rfam's summary of the family: Y RNAs are components of the Ro ribonucleoprotein particle (Ro RNP), in association with Ro60 and La proteins. The Y RNAs and Ro60 and La proteins are well conserved, but the function of the Ro RNP is not known. The record is from Ensembl. Lineage: Eukaryota; Metazoa; Chordata; Mammalia; Primates; Cercopithecidae.